CCCAAGAGGAGCUCUGCAGCCUGGGGAGAUCAGCUGCCUGCCUCUCUGAGACCACUGUAAACUGCAAGUUCCAAGAGGGCAAGGAUGCCUUGUUUAUGCCCAGAAUCUACCACAUACAUACACUCCAUAACUAUUUGUGGAAAGAGUGAAUGAAGUUAUCCAUCAAGUUGAGACUGGGUGAUUUAAAAACAGCCAGCAGGGGGUACAGCUGCCAAUAGCCCAAGAUCAUCCAAACGAAAGAGAGAACCUCUGUCUAUCUUACAUUUGGAGAAAUCUGGGAAAGGAUUCAAACUGGUCAGGCAAGUAAAAUGUAUCCUUCCUUUGACCAAUUACCAUGUACAGGGGGAUGUUACAUUAUCAAUAGUCCAAGCCGGGU
Molecule: long non-coding RNA, 376 nt
Organism: Equus quagga
Lineage: Eukaryota; Metazoa; Chordata; Mammalia; Perissodactyla; Equidae
Exons: 3
Source: RefSeq, a predicted model, not a curated record